RNAcentral lists this ribosomal RNA (254 nucleotides) under uncultured bacterium. Its description in RNAcentral is "partial 16S ribosomal RNA". It matches the Rfam family "Bacterial small subunit ribosomal RNA", at positions 524 to 776 of the family's 1533-position model. The record is from RNAcentral.
UACGUAGGGCGCAAGCGUUGUCCGGAUUUAUUGGGCGUAAAGAGCUCGUAGGCGGUUUAGUAAGUCAGGUGUGAAAGCUCCAGGCUCAACCUGGAGACGCCACUUGAUACUUCUAUGACUUGAGUUCGGUAGGGGACCAUGGAAUUCCUGGUGUAGCGGUGAAAUGCGCAGAUAUCAGGAGGAACACCGAUGGCGAAGGCAGUGGUCUGGGCCGAUACUGACGCUGAGGAGCGAAAGCGUGGGGAGCGAACAGG